AGUCGAACGCAUUGUGGUUGAAUGAUAUGAAGAACUUGUUCAGAUUUGAUUUUCAACAUUGCAAUGAGUGGCGAACGGGUGAGUAACACGUGGGAAACCUACCUCUUAGCAGGGGAUAACAUUUGGAAACAAAUGCUAAUACCGUAUAAUAAUUAAAACCGCAUGGUUUUAGUUUAAAAGAUGGUCUUGCUAUCACUAAGAGAUGGUCCCGCGGUGUAUUAGUUAGUUGGUGAGGUAAUGGCUCACCAAGACAAUGAUACAUAGCCGAGUUGAGAGACUGACCGGCCACAAUGGGACUGAGACACGGCCCAUACUCCUACGGGAGGCAGCAGUAGGGAAUCUUCCACAAUGGACGAAAGUCUGAUGGAGCAACGCCGCGUGUGUGAUGAAGGGUUUCGGCUCGUAAAACACUGUUGUAAGAGAAGAAUGACAUUGAGAGUAACUGUUCAAUGUGUGACGGUAUCUUACCAGAAAGGAACGGCUAAAUACGUGCCAGCAGCCGCGGUAAUACGUAUGUUCCAAGCGUUAUCCGGAUUUAUUGGGCGUAAAGCGAGCGCAGACGGUUAUUUAAGUCUGAAGUGAAAGCCCUCGGCUCAACCGAGGAAUUGCUUUGGAAACUGGAUAACUUGAGUGCAGUAGAGGAAAGUGGAACUCCAUGUGUAGCGGUGAAAUGCGUAGAUAUAUGGAAGAACACCAGUGGCGAAGGCGGCUUUCUGGACUGUAACUGACGUUGAGGCUCGAAAGUGUGGGUAGCAAACAGGAUUAGAUACCCUGGUAGUCCACACUGUAAACGAUGAGUGCUAGUUGUUCGAGGGUUUCCGCCCUUGAGUGACGAAGCUAACGCAUUAAGCACUCCGCCUGGGGAGUACGACCGCAAGGUUGAAACUCAAAGGAAUUGACGGGGACCC
Molecule: ribosomal RNA, 908 nt
Filed under: Weissella koreensis
Lineage: Bacteria; Bacillati; Bacillota; Bacilli; Lactobacillales; Lactobacillaceae
Description: bacterial SSU rRNA
Rfam family: Bacterial small subunit ribosomal RNA
Source: RNAcentral